AAUCAACGCUGGCGGCGUGCCUCAGACAUGCAAGUCGAACGAUUAAAGCUCUCUUCGGAGAGUGUAUAGAGUGGCGCACGGGUGAGUAACACGUAAGUAAUCUACCCUCGAGUGGGGAAUAACAACCGGAAACGGUUGCUAAUACCGCAUAAUGCAGCGGCACCGCAAGGUGACAGUUGUUAAAGAUUUAUCGCUUGAGGAGGAGCUUGCGGCAGAUUAGCUAGUUGGUAGGGUAACGGCUUACCAAGGCUACGAUCUGUAACCGGUCUAAGAGGACGGUCGGUCACACUGACACUGAAUAACGGGUCAGACUCCUACGGGAGGCAGCAGUCGGGAAUUUUGGGCAAUGGGCGAAAGCCUGACCCAGCAACGCCGCGUGAAGGAUGAAGUAUUUCGGUAUGUAAACUUCGAAAGAAUAGGAAGAAUUAAUGACGGUACUAUUUAUAAGGUCCGGCUAA
RNAcentral lists this ribosomal RNA (458 nucleotides) under uncultured bacterium. RNAcentral describes it as "bacterial SSU rRNA". It matches the Rfam family "Bacterial small subunit ribosomal RNA", at positions 32 to 500 of the family's 1533-position model. The record is from RNAcentral.